Molecule: non-coding RNA, 268 nt
Organism: Pelobates cultripes (western spadefoot toad)
Lineage: Eukaryota; Metazoa; Chordata; Amphibia; Anura; Pelobatidae
Source: the annotation of a GenBank genome assembly
CUUCUCAACUGAUCUCUGAAGAAAAUCAACAUUUAGUGGCUCUCCCCUAACCAUCAAUCAUCAUUUUUCGUGGUGCCACGGUUGAAUCUCAAAACCAACAAAUGAAACGGCUCGUCCAUUGCCCGUUUUGUUUGUGUCUGGUGAUUUGGUCAUACGGAAAUUCAAAGUUGCAGUAUUUGGACGAACUGGGAUUUGUUUCAAACCGAAUGCUACAUGAAAUUCUAUCAGAGAUCGAUGUAAGUAAAUAACUAGUCAUGGUCUGCAUACC